UAUGACUGUAUAAAUAACAGAAUCUACUCAGAACAGUUUAAGGAAUUUCUUGGGACCUACAAUAAACUUAGAGAAACCUGCUUUUUGGACUGUGUUAAAGACUUCACAACAAAAGUAAAGCCUGAAGAGACCACCUGUUCAGACCAUUGCUUACAGAAAUACAAAAAUUAUUUUUAAAUGACACAAAGAAUAUCCAAGAGAUUUCAGGAAUAUCAUAUUCAACAGAACGAAGCCCUGGUAGCCAAAGCAAAACUACUUGGCCAAUC
This 266-nucleotide long non-coding RNA is filed under the name Homo sapiens (human). Its description in RNAcentral is "non-protein coding lnc-WRB-6:1". The record is from RNAcentral. Lineage: Eukaryota; Metazoa; Chordata; Mammalia; Primates; Hominidae.